AACAAAAGACAAUGGGCAGGAGUUAGCAGAGCACGGCAGAGCUCGCAGAAGGAUGUCGGGGCAGACACUGAGAACACACGGGGCUCCCUUUAGAUGCUCAGCCUUAGGGCUUCCCUCAGCAACCACCAUCACCCAAACAGUGGAGAGUACUAAAUCUACAUCCGAAGCUCAAGUCUAGCUAUUCUCGUACCUGGGGAUAUAAAGGCCACACCCUUCUCAAACCUAAGCUCCAAUGGGCCAGCCCUUAGUUCCAGGUCAUUAUCAAACCCUCUCAAGGAGUCAGGCCUGGGGGCUGGGGGAAGGCCGGAGAGAUGGGUCAGAGGUUAGGAGCACUGACUGUUCUUCCAGAGGCCUGAGUUCAAUUUCCAGGAGCCACUUAUGUGGGUCACAACCACUAUGACGGGUUCCGAUGCCCUCUUCUGGUGUGUCUGAAGACAGUGUGUUCACAUAUAUAAAAUAAAUAAAUCUUAAAAAAAACAAAGUCAGGCCUGUCCCGACUUCACUGAGAGCCUUAGCAAGGCUGCCUACCGGCAUCUACUAGGUAGUGUUCUGACUUGGAAAACGACACUCAGAUUUAUUUGGGGUUAUUCUGUUUUUUAUGCCUUCUUAGUAAGGGUGUUUUGUUUUGUUUUCCUUUGAGACAGAGUCCUCCUGCUCUAUAGCUCAAGCUGACCUCAAACACUGUCUUGCUCCCUCGGCCUCCUGGGGACUGGGAUUGCGAGCAUGUCACACUGUCUGGCCACACCCUGAACUUGGGUCAGGACAGGGAUGCCUCUCACGGUACACCAGGUAAGAUCCAAAUGACAAUCCCACAUCGAAAACAUCAGCCAUGUGACCCUGAGUAUGUGAGUUUUCUAAGCUCAUUUUUCUCUCCUACACAUAGGGAGGCUAUGUCCCAAUACCACAAGAACAGCAAGACACCGCGAGGGGACGGGAUGUGUGCUCCUCUCCAGAAUGUGACUGCUCUCCAGGGUGGGACUCCAGUGAGGCUCCUCCCCUCUGACUGUACCUCGGGGUUACAGUCUGCCGCAGCCACCCAGGCUUCACCAGGAAGUCCCUCACCAGGAACUCUGCGAGCCUCUGAGGACACUCCUGGGAGCUGCCCAGCCUGGCAGGAGGCAAGCUAAGGGAGGGCAGAGUGCUGGCCCUCUGAGGCUGCAAUUAGCACCAACUUAUUAAACUUGCAGCAGGCCUAAGUCACCUGAUCCCUCCACUGGGCCUGGAAUUCCACCAUUUUCCAUAUUCCCAUGUUACACUAUGCAAAUGGAAGCUGAUGCAGGAGAAUGGACCCAAGGACCUACUCUUCUGAGUGGCACAACUUCUGUCACAAAGUCUUCUCUAGUAAAGAACUCAAAGCAGCACUCAUCCACGUGUGACAGCGUGACAGCAGCAAAGCUCCCAGGGCCACAGAAGUGAGGGGCUGUCCACCUUCUGCCUGUGUGGAUCUAGGCUGGGUCUCACCCGAGGGGCCUGCAGCCCUGUCAUCAGCAUCCCACCUGCAGCGCUGCUCCACUGUGCUGUUCAGCAGAGCCAGCUUUGGGAAGACCAGGUCACAACCGGGACGAACAGGAGUCCUUUGACAACCAAGGACUCAAUCCAUCUAUCCACUUGGGGAACUAAUGCUCGUGUCUUCCACGAAAGGGAGAUGUCACUAUACAACUCUUUCCUCCUCAGAGCUGCUGUGUACAGAGGCCUUUGUGACCAGAAUAAAUCCCUCCAAUAAGUAAGCAAACCCCUUAGAAUAGCUUUCAUUCCAAGAGAGGAUAGGCCACAGCUCCUGUCAAACCCCUAUUGAGUUUUUAAAGAAAAUACACAUUUUCCUUCCUUCCUGUGAUAUGCCAGUGUUCAAAACCUUGAUGCACGCCCAUCCCCAUCUGCAGGUUCAGGAGAAAACUGAAGUUAUUGCCACAGGUCUCCCCUAAGGUUUCACCAAUGGCUUGUCCCAGUGGGAGGGUUGGGAGGCCUUCUGGAGUAGCACAGACACCCAUGUUAGGAAGCACAGGACUGGGUGGGAUUUCCAAAGUCAAUCUAAUCUAGAAGUCACCAGGGUCAGUGAAUCAUCGAGAUGGAGGGAGGGUAGCCGCCUACAGGUCACGGUCAGGAUCUUCCUUGUUUCUGCACCCCUUAACACCACACUGAAAUAGCUAACUGCACUGGAGAGGGUUUGAUCAACCUUGGCAGACUCCCUCUGGAGCUGCCCUGUCAGGGCAGCCCAUACCUAACCCUACCCUAUCCAUCUGACCAGCAAGAUCAUCUGGACAGAAGGGGCUCCAAGAUACUCCAGGACAAUAGAUGGGUCUGCCCCUACCCACACAGUCCCUGCUCCGGUACCAGAUAGGCAGUGGCGUCCUGGACCUUCCUUUCCUGAGACCAGCACUCACCCGGACUUCUAGGAAUUUACAAUGAAAGGGAUACAUAGGAUUUAGCAAACACAUUAGGUUCAAAGGUUUUGUUUGGAAGGCCAGCAACACAGCUGUACUUAAGAGGCGGACCUGCCUUCCUCGUUUAUUCUUUUGGAGCUUGAGCAGAGAAAGCUUGCUGGUGUGGAGGAUACCGGGCUGGCGAGAAGCAUUAGGAGAGUGUAGACAGUAAGAACCCGAGGAGAAGCUGCCUCUCUGCCCACUGCCCAGCCACCCUGAGGGGCCACCCUCCUCCUGGCACCAUCUGACCCUCAAGCAAACUUCCCAGCCCCCCAUUUAUGAACAAGUUUUGUUCAAAGGCUGGGAAUUUGUCAGUCCCACCGCAGCCCAGGAACCCGCACAUGGGACACUCUGUUCUACCCAGGAAACUGAAGCUCAGAGAUUUUGGGCUCCUAACCCAGAACACACAGCCAGGUGAAAGAGCGGGGAUUCUGCUCAAGACUAAGUCUGAGGUGGUCUGAUGGAGCAUACAAAAUCUCAACCCUACCUAUGCUCUUCUGAAAACAAAAUGAAACAAACAAUACAAAAACACCAGGCAUGAACAUGAUGCGUCUACUGCCAGACAAGGCCUUCUCUCUUCCUUCUUGCAGUAGUGCCAGGAGCACUUGUUGUGCUCUCAUCACUGGGAACCCCACUGCACCUAAGGCUCUCUUGCGGCAGACUGUCAGCAUGUGAGAACUGAGAAGCAAUGAGGAGGAAGCCAGUGGGCUCCAGUGGGACCUUGCCACCAGCACAGCUUAUGGCUGGCAGUGGCCGAAGAGGAAGGGUGGUAACAUGAAACCUUUGCAGAGGCAACACCCCUGUUCUGUCGCCUUCACGUGAGGUCUGGGCCACGCAAAAGUGUCUGGAAUUGGCAAGGACUAUUGAAGGACCCUCAGCUUCUUCAACAAUGGUCUGCCUGGUCUCUGGUCAUGGGUCUCCACUAACAGCAUUGAGCUUCACUAUUGCUCUUCAUGUCUGUGUCGUCGAUUGGCCCACUGCUACUCUGGAACCCUUGGGAACCAAGGCAGCGGGAUGAGCCAGACCAAGACCACUUCAGGUGUGUAUGGCCUGUACCUUAUACCACUGGCAUCUGAUCCUGCAUAGCUGCGUCCUGUGCACUGACAGAUGGGCGUGGUUAACUUCUGCCCACUAGGAGCCAUAUCAAAUAGCCCUAAUUGUGACCAUUAACCUGAAGUUGACUGUGUGCCCUUUGAGGCAGAAUCCUGCCUGGCUGAGGGACUAGUUCCCUGCAAAGAAGAGAGACUGUGGACAGAUCAGUGCAGGUUACAGAGCGACCACACAACACCUCAGUGGUAACCAGAACCCACAUGUGCACGCACUUCCCAUGGAACAAACAAACAAACAACGAUUUAGAUGGGUGUGGGGGCACAUGCCUACUAUCCCACAACUUGAGAGGUGAAGGCCUGAGGUUCAAGAAUUCAAGGCUAUCUUUAGUUACAUAGAGAGUUUGGAGCUAGCCUGGGCUACAAGGCACUGUCUCAAAAAAAAAAAAAAGAAAAAAGAAAAGAAAAA
This 3935-nucleotide small RNA is filed under the name Rattus norvegicus (Norway rat). RNAcentral describes it as "uncharacterized LOC102548484". The record is from RNAcentral. Lineage: Eukaryota; Metazoa; Chordata; Mammalia; Rodentia; Muridae.